CAGCAGGAUUUAGACUACAAUAUAGCUGCUAAGUGCUGUGCUGUCAUUCCCCCUGCUUAAAUUAAGGUUGUUUCUUUUUUUUUUUUUUUGGUCGGUCUUGGGCCUUGAACUC
RNAcentral lists this small nucleolar RNA (112 nucleotides) under Dipodomys ordii (Ord's kangaroo rat). RNAcentral describes it as "Small nucleolar RNA SNORA63 (ENSDORG00000025840.1)". The record is from RNAcentral. Lineage: Eukaryota; Metazoa; Chordata; Mammalia; Rodentia; Heteromyidae.